This 207-nucleotide long non-coding RNA is filed under the name Gossypium raimondii (Peruvian cotton). RNAcentral describes it as "long non-coding RNA (GRAI_LNC003661)". Lineage: Eukaryota; Viridiplantae; Streptophyta; Magnoliopsida; Malvales; Malvaceae. The record is from RNAcentral.
UCACAAAGGUGGAAAAGAGUCUGAAAUUUGAAAAAAAAACUAAACAAAAAGAUAAUGCCUAGAAAUCUGGCAACUCAUCUCCUUAAUUCUCUCUCUAACCCCCCACAAUAACUCCACUACUCGAAAUUUCAAUUUGAUUAGGACACCACCUCGCCACACGGCAAAUAAUUCCCUUGUUCACGCAGGGACUUGAACUCCAGACCUCCC